GAUGAACGCUGGCGGCGUGCUUAACACAUGCAAGUCGAACGAUGAAGCCCAGCCUGCUGGGCGGAUUAGUGGCGAACGGGUGAGUAACACGUGAGUAACCUGCCCUUGACUCUGGGAUAAGCCCGGGAAACUGGGUCUAAUACCGGAUAGGAGCGCCUGUCGCAUGACGGGUGCUGGAAAGAUUUUUCGGUCAUGGAUGGACUCGCGGCCUAUCAGCUUGUUGGUGAGGUAACGGCUCACCAAGGCGACGACGGGUAGCCGGCCUGAGAGGGUGACCGGCCACACUGGGACUGAGACACGGCCCAGACUCCUACGGGAGGCAGCAGUGGGGAAUAUUGCACAAUGGGCGGAAGCCUGAUGCAGCGACGCCGCGUGAGGGAUGACGGCCUUCGGGUUGUAAACCUCUUUCAGUAGGGAAGAAGCGAAAGUGACGUACCUGCAGAA
RNAcentral lists this ribosomal RNA (444 nucleotides) under Micrococcus luteus. Its description in RNAcentral is "bacterial SSU rRNA". It matches the Rfam family "Bacterial small subunit ribosomal RNA", at positions 28 to 486 of the family's 1533-position model. The record is from RNAcentral. Lineage: Bacteria; Bacillati; Actinomycetota; Actinomycetes; Micrococcales; Micrococcaceae.